Non-coding RNA from Cyanistes caeruleus (blue tit), 459 nucleotides. NCBI's taxonomy places the organism in Eukaryota, Metazoa, Chordata, Aves, Passeriformes, Paridae. The record is from RefSeq and is a predicted model, not a curated record.
UGGCCACAGGGAUGGCAGCGCCGCUGGCAGGGAGCUGUGCCGCAGGGGCCCUGACAGGCUCUGUGUUCCCAGGGAUGGCCGGGCGGCUCCUGAGGGGACAGAAAGAAGAGCUGCAGCUAAUUUACAAAUCCCUUAAGAAUGUGGUUUGUGACACCAGCCCUGCCAUCGGAAACCUGGCAAUUCAAACAUUUUACAUCAUCCAGGCAGUAGAGACGGCUCGAUAUUCCAUCUUUGAGAACCUGCAAGUUCAGCUGCGCAGGGCAUGGAGGACACGGCCUUGUCUGUUGGGCCUCAGCUGGCUGCGCUGCUGGAGCUCUGCUGGGAACUGACCCGGCAGGCUCUAUCUGCUGGGGCCACCUGAACCAGCAGGGAUUUUUGUUCCUUAAACAUUGUUCUUUUCUUCUUUUCAUUUUCCUUUAGUAUAUAAAUAUAGUAUAUGUUAUAAUAGGCAGUCACUUC